GGUUUAGCCCUCCCCUAUAUAAUAUCGCCUCGUCCUCUCGGCCGCCACUCUCCACCGAUCCCCUCACCCCCACCGGCGGCGCACAGCCCGACGACCCGAGCGAUCCUGCGGAGGCGGCAGCCAUGGUGCACGUCAACUUCUACCGCAACUAUGGAAAGACCUUCAAGAAGCCAAGGCGUCCGUAUGAGAAGGAGCGUCUUGACGCUGAGCUGAAGCUGGUUGGGGAGUACGGUCUGCGGGCCAAGCGUGAGCUCUAUCGUGUGCAGUAUGCCCUCAGCCGCAUCCGAAAUGCUGCCAGGGAGCUGCUCACUCUGGAUGAGAAGAACCCCCGCCGUAUCUUUGAGGGUGCGGCUCUCCUCCGCCGCAUGAACCGCUACGGUCUUCUCACUGAGGAACAGAACAAGCUUGAUUACGUGCUUGCCCUCACUGUUGACAACUUCCUCCAGCGCCGUCUCCAGACCAUCGUCUUCAAGAAUGGCAUGGCCAAGUCAAUCCAUCAUGCGCGUGUCCUUAUCAGACAGCGCCACAUCAGGGUUGGAAAGCAGCUCGUCAACAUUCCUUCUUUCAUGGUGAGGGUGGACACUGAGAAACACGUCGACUUCUCGCUCACCAGCCCCCUUGGUGGUGGCCAACCUGGAAGAGUGAAGCGGAAGAACCAGAAGAAGGCCUCAGGUGGUGGUGGUGAUGACGGCGAGGAGGAGGAAGACUAAGCGCUCAGCCUCGACCCGCAUAACUUCCGUUGCAGAAAUGUUGAGAUUGCCUUGUGGAUCUUGCAACGGGAAAUGAUUCAAACUUUGGUUCGUUCUUAGAAACUUAGUGGUGUAGAGCUUUCGUUGCUUCAGAAUCAUUUGGCUAUCGAUUCUAAAAUUAAACUUAUGUUUGUUGGUUUUGCUUGGUUAGUGACUACCGAGCAGAAGAAGUGAACUCAGUGAUGCUGCUUCGUUUUUUGUGAACCAAACGUAUCUUGUUAUUGAUUUUACAGGCCUGGUUCUGAGUUAGUUUACUCUGCAUGAAGUGUUG
This 1020-nucleotide ribosomal RNA is filed under the name Triticum aestivum (bread wheat). RNAcentral describes it as "partial small subunit ribosomal RNA". The record is from RNAcentral. Lineage: Eukaryota; Viridiplantae; Streptophyta; Magnoliopsida; Poales; Poaceae.